GCAGCGCGCGCGGAUUGGGCGCGGGUGGGUGCGGGGCCCCGGGCCGGGAGCCCUCCUUCCGUCCCCUCGUAGGCUGCUCGUACUGCCGCCCGCUUACAGAGGGGAAAACCGGGGCGCUCAGCAGACUUCUCCACACUGUUCAAGACCCUGCCCUGGGGAGCCCUCCCUGCUCUGUGGCCACUGCCCAGCCCAGGUCUCACCAUAGCAUCUGGUCCCCAGCAGGCUGAGCCCCCUGAGGCUCGGGGUCAGGUCUGUGCCGACUUUGCAGCCCUGCGACAGUGGAUUCUCAUUAAACGCUUCCUGAGAGCAAAGACAUGAGGGCUGGAACCUGGCUCCCCUGCAUGCAGACUACAUCUGCCAGGUGCGGUGCUAGGAGAGGCAGAUGGUUACGUUUUCACCAGAGCCACCUGCCCACAGAGACCUGGGAUAAUAGAGGCCAAAGGUGGCCCAUCAGCUCAGAAACCUGUAAUUCCGCACAUGCCCAACCAUCCACAGGGACCGGAAGGAGCCGAGCAGACGCCAGCGGAAACCCACAGAUGUUUGCAAUUGACAACAGACCCAUCAGCAGAUGUCCUUAAAGAAUUUGCCGGCACCUGCUGCCUGUUUACCAACGCUCCCUCCGUGAAGUUCACCUUCAGCUCACGGUGACCAUCGCCGCCGCCGCCGCCACUGGGGCCCCAAGUCGGGGAUGCCUAGCUCGGGUGGCCCCUUGCUCUAGCCCCCAAGGACAGUCACUUGACCUCUCUGAGCCAGAGAUGCUGCAUGUGUGAAGGAGAAGUGGUAACGCUCACCUCCUAGGAUGGCGGUGACGAUUCGAAAUGAAAACGUCUAGGGCCCUUGGCGUGGGGUCAGCUCCAGUUACCUAGAUUCCUUCAUCUGCCUGUCUCCCAUCUGGCGCCAAGAUAUCACGUGAUCUCCAUAUGCUGCCUCAAGUUGCCAGGGUGCCUCGACUGUGUCCCUGUCCGCCUCCAGGCCAUCCAUUCCUCAGAAUCAGUCUCUCACUCCAGCUGCGGUUACUCUUGCGAAGAGCCUCCGGGGGGAGUGUCCCUUGUGGCUCAGUGGAUUAAGAACCUAACUGGUAUCCAUCAGGGUGCGGGUUUGAUCCCUGUCCUCGCUUAGUGGGUUAAGAAUCCAGCAUUGCCUGAGGCAAGCUGUGUAAGUCACAGACAUGGCUCGGAUCCCAUGUUGCUGUGGCUGUGGUGUAGACCACCAGCUGUAGUUCUGAUUCAACUCCUAGCCUGGGAACCUCCAUAUGCCGUGGGUGCGGCCCUAAAAAGCAAAAAAACAAAAAAAAGGCCUCCUGGGGGUGGGGGAUCAGGGCAAGCAAGAGGCUGUACCAUGAAUAGAAGGGUUUUAAUGCGGGGACCAGCUACACAGCUGCUGGGAUUGUCAGAGGCCUGGGAACCUGGGGCAGGAGGGUGGCUGCAACCUGGUGCCCUUGACCUGGAG
Molecule: long non-coding RNA, 1449 nt
Filed under: Sus scrofa (pig)
Lineage: Eukaryota; Metazoa; Chordata; Mammalia; Artiodactyla; Suidae
Description: lncRNA (ENSSSCG00060019785.1)
Source: RNAcentral